UCUACACAAUCCCAGGAAAAUGCUGUCGCUCAAAUUAAAGGAGGAGGAAGGUCCUACCAGCCCAGAUUCAGACUUAAUGUUGCAAGAACUCAUUUAAUGCAGAAAAUGGAUUGUCUUCCAGAUGUAAAACUACAGGGAUGUGUAGGUGUUGAAGAGAAGAUAAAAUCCAGCAUCACUGGAUCAGUCCUACAAGAGGGA
RNAcentral lists this long non-coding RNA (198 nucleotides) under Cyanistes caeruleus (blue tit). Its description in RNAcentral is "lncRNA (ENSCCEG00000014169.1)". The record is from RNAcentral. Lineage: Eukaryota; Metazoa; Chordata; Aves; Passeriformes; Paridae.